UGGGGGUCACUGCCUGCGGUCAAGGAA
This 27-nucleotide non-coding RNA is filed under the name Homo sapiens (human). The record is from RNAcentral. Lineage: Eukaryota; Metazoa; Chordata; Mammalia; Primates; Hominidae.